RNAcentral lists this ribosomal RNA (562 nucleotides) under uncultured bacterium. RNAcentral describes it as "bacterial SSU rRNA". It matches the Rfam family "Bacterial small subunit ribosomal RNA", at positions 57 to 666 of the family's 1533-position model. The record is from RNAcentral.
GCAGUCGAGCGAGACCUUCGGGUCUAGCGGCGGACGGGUGAGUAACGCGUGGGAACGUGCCCUUUGCUACGGAAUAGUCCCGGGAAACUGGGUUUAAUACCGUAUGUGCCCUUCGGGGGAAAGAUUUAUCGGCAAAGGAUCGGCCCGCGUUGGAUUAGGUAGUUGGUGGGGUAAUGGCCUACCAAGCCGACGAUCCAUAGCUGGUUUGAGAGGAUGAUCAGCCACACUGGGACUGAGACACGGCCCAGACUCCUACGGGAGGCAGCAGUGGGGAAUCUUAGACAAUGGGGGCAACCCUGAUCUAGCCAUGCCGCGUGAGUGAUGAAGGCCUUAGGGUUGUAAAGCUCUUUCAGCUGGGAAGAUAAUGACGGUACCAGCAGAAGAAGCCCCGGCUAACUCCGUGCCAGCAGCCGCGGUAAUACGGAGGGGGCUAGCGUUGUUCGGAAUUACUGGGCGUAAAGCGCACGUAGGCGGACUGGAAAGUUGGGGGUGAAAUCCCGGGGCUCAACCUCGGAACUGCCUUCAAAACUAUCAGUCUGGAGUUCGAGAGAGGUGAGUGGAA